This is a long non-coding RNA of Drosophila teissieri, 497 nucleotides long. RefSeq lists it as uncharacterized. Lineage: Eukaryota; Metazoa; Arthropoda; Insecta; Diptera; Drosophilidae. The record is from RefSeq and is a predicted model, not a curated record. The transcript is spliced from 3 exons.
CUGCUGCUGCUGCUGCUGUUGGUUCGUUAAUUAUUCCGCAAUUGGAAAAAUGUGCAAUACACAAUCGAUUUGUAAUCAGCAAAUUAGGCAAGAACGGAAAAGAUGUGCCAACAAUGCAACUUUACACGAAAAUAUAACUCAAAACGGAACUCAAGACUUGGAUAUCAAACGAGAAUCAAAGGCAACAAGGCAACGCACUAAGGCGACAUUAGCAACAGGUCAUUGGAGUACUACUUACAUCCGCCUGCAGUCUUUGCGCCUCCUGCUCCGUCUCGAAGGUGACGAAUCCAUAGCCCUUGCUCACGCCGGCCCGAUCCACGAUGAUCUUGGUGCUCUUUACCGUUCCGUAGGCGCUGAAGACGCGGGUCAGAUCGGCCUCGGUGGUAUCGCCGCUAGAUAGGGAAGAUCUGGUUUAGUUGGCUCUACUUAAAAGAACUAAAGAAUUUCUAAGGCUUCCGGGAAUCGAAAUUGGAGUCGGAGGACAGAGGACAGAGGGG